This 472-nucleotide long non-coding RNA is filed under the name Cricetulus griseus (Chinese hamster). Its description in RNAcentral is "lncRNA (ENSCGRG00000025776.1)". Lineage: Eukaryota; Metazoa; Chordata; Mammalia; Rodentia; Cricetidae. The record is from RNAcentral.
CACAGGACUCUGGGGUUUUAUAGUUUUCUCACACCUCUGCUAUAGUCAAAUAGGAAGGAGUGGAGAUAACAAAUGGAAAAUUCUUAUUUUCUGUGUGAUUUUGCUUCAGGAAUAUGCCCAUUCAAACACCUGCCUACUGGCCACAGUGCUACAUGCACCCUUCCCUGCCUGCUUCUUCAGAGGUGCCAUGGGAGAGAGACCAUUCUCAGGCAUCAUUGCUUGGGCUCUAGACCCCUGGUCCAGGAAUGCAAAGAUAAAAGAGCUUGGAUUUUCCCAAAUGUAGUUCUACCUUCAGAGACUUCUUGCAAUAUGGAAUGCCAUCUGCCACUCUGUCCUGGAAGGCAUUUUAUGCUUCCUGUUCCAUCAGAGUCACUGUAAAUGUGACUUGUAAAAACACUAUCAUGAAAUCAUUGUGUUUUUCUUGGUUUAAAUGAUUUGUGUGUUGUGAUCGUUAAUGGCAAAUCAGUUUCAC